GCGAUCUGGCUGUGCCUCAGGAGGGUGGGACCCACUGCAGAGGAGCCGUCACCCUCGGAGGGGUGGGAGGAGAACACGUGGUCUCAGAGGGGGCUGCUGUUGUUUUGGCUUCUGCGGUAACACAUCUCUGGAAGGUCAGACUUCCUGUUUCCGGACCCGUCCAAGCAGAGGGACCGACGCCUGCCAUUGCCGUUAUCCUGUUGAUUGUUAACUGGGACUCUCCUGCACCCGCUCCAGGACAAGCCGUACACACCUAUCGUGGCACCGUCUCCAGUCCCACGGGUUCCCCAUCUAAUUUGCCUUCUCCACCUAAUGUAUCACCGACGGACUUCAAGUAAUCCCGUUAGCCUUCCUCUUUGGAUUGUGCUGUAUGAAGUAAGAUGCCACACUGCUGUCUCCCUGAACGUUUCCUCCAUCAUUGGAGAUUUUGCUUCUAGGCCAUGGUUGUUUAGCUCACAUAAACUCACAAAAAUUC
This is a long non-coding RNA of Artibeus jamaicensis (Jamaican fruit-eating bat), 475 nucleotides long. RefSeq lists it as uncharacterized. NCBI's taxonomy places the organism in Eukaryota, Metazoa, Chordata, Mammalia, Chiroptera, Phyllostomidae. The transcript has 2 exons. The record is from RefSeq and is a predicted model, not a curated record.